CCUACGGGAGGCUGCAGUGGGGAAUAUUGCACAAUGGGGGAAACCCUGAUGCAGCGACGCCGCGUGAGGGAAGAAGGAAUUAGGGAUGGAAAGCUCUAUCAGCAGGGAAGAAAAUGACGGUACCUGAGCAAGAAGCCCCGGCUAACUACGUGCCAGCAGCCGCGGUCAUACGUAGGGGGCAAGCGUUAUCCGGAUUUACUGGGUGUACAGGGAGCGUAGACGGCAGUGAAAGUCUGGAGUGAAAGGCGGGGGCUCAACCCCCGGACUGCUCUGGAAACUGUACGGCUUGAGUGCAGGAGGGGUAAGUGGAAUUCCUAGUGUAGCGGUGAAAUGCGUAGAUAUUAGGAGGAACACCAGUGGCGAAGGCGGCUUACUGGACUGUAACUGACGUUGAGGCUCGAAAGCGUGGGUAGCAAACAGGAUUAGAUACCCUUGUAGUC
RNAcentral lists this ribosomal RNA (440 nucleotides) under uncultured bacterium. RNAcentral describes it as "partial 16S ribosomal RNA". It matches the Rfam family "Bacterial small subunit ribosomal RNA", at positions 338 to 795 of the family's 1533-position model. The record is from RNAcentral.